RNAcentral lists this small RNA (583 nucleotides) under Pan troglodytes (chimpanzee). Its description in RNAcentral is "processed transcript". Lineage: Eukaryota; Metazoa; Chordata; Mammalia; Primates; Hominidae. The record is from RNAcentral.
GGAACAAGGUGGGAGAAGAGAGAGAAAGCGAAUACCGGAGGCCGCCAGCAUCAGUGGGUGCCCGCGCUCUCCUCCUCGCUCUCGUCCUCUGCCCUCCGCCCUGGCUCCCUGCCCGCAUUCCCUGGGAGCGCAGCCUUGCCUUAGCCUAGGAGACAGCUGUCCACAGUGACAGGCGGCCAUUGUUCUCGGCCGAGCCAGCAGGCUUCCGGCCGGUGGCAGCUGCUGCUCCUCCGCUCUGCGGCCCCACCAAGGGGGCGCCGCCACCGCCCAGGCCCUCCCCGCCUGAUGGGUCUCUGUCCGUCCACGCGGGAGACAGCGCCACCUGCCGCCUCCGCCUUUAGGCAGGAGCUCUUUCCUCCUCUCAGUUCCCCAUGUCCUUUGGGUGUGGCCUGUGACACUCAACUCCUGCCCUCGGCUGACUGGCCCUGAUUCACCAUGCUUGCCACGUGCACCUGGGCUGGCAGGAGUUCCAGGAGAGUUUGUGCAUUGAAGUGACAUGAGUCCCUGAAGCCAGAGCCCCCAUGGUUUCCUUUGGGCCUGUUACUGGUUGAUCUUUUCUUGAGAAGCCAAGCUUAGGUAGGAU